AGUAAGGUCAGCUAAAUUAAGCUAUCGGGCCCAUACCCCGAAAAUGUCGGAUCA
Molecule: transfer RNA, 54 nt
Filed under: Loxodonta cyclotis (African forest elephant)
Lineage: Eukaryota; Metazoa; Chordata; Mammalia; Proboscidea; Elephantidae
Description: partial tRNA-Met
Source: RNAcentral